This 345-nucleotide ribosomal RNA is filed under the name uncultured archaeon. RNAcentral describes it as "bacterial SSU rRNA". It matches the Rfam family "Archaeal small subunit ribosomal RNA", at positions 691 to 1035 of the family's 1478-position model. The record is from RNAcentral.
CCGACGGUGAGAGGCGAAAGCUGGGGGAGCAAACCGGAUUAGAUACCCGGGUAGUCCCAGCCGUAAACGAUGUGCGUUAGGUGUAUCGGUGACCACGAGUCACCGAGGUGCCGAAGAGAAAUCGUGAAACGUACCGCCUGGGUAGUACGGUCGCAAGGCUGAAACUUAAAGGAAUUGGCGGGGGAGCACCACAACAGGUGGAGCCUGCGGUUUAAUCGGACUCAACGCCGGGAAACUCACCAGAUAAGACAGCUGAAUGAUAGUCGGGCUGAAGACUCUACUUGACUAGCUGAGAGGAGGUGCAUGGCCGUCGUCAGUUCGUACUGUGAAGCAUCCUGUUAAGUC